Molecule: ribosomal RNA, 432 nt
Filed under: uncultured bacterium
Lineage: Bacteria
Description: partial 16S ribosomal RNA
Rfam family: Bacterial small subunit ribosomal RNA
Source: RNAcentral
AGCGAACGCUGGCGGCAGGCCUAACACAUGCAAGUCGAACGAACUCUUCGGAGUUAGUGGCGGACGGGUGAGUAACACGUGGGAACGUGCCUUUUGGUUCGGAAUAACUCAGGGAAACUUGUGCUAAUACCGAAUGUGCCCUUCGGGGGAAAGAUUUAUCGCCAUUAGAGCGGCCCGCGUCUGAUUAGCUAGUUGGUGAGGUAACGGCUCACCAAGGCGACGAUCAGUAGCUGGUCUGAGAGGAUGACCAGCCACACUGGGACUGAGACACGGCCCAGGCUCCUACGGGAGGCAGCAGUGGGGAAUCUUGCGCAAUGGGCGAAAGCCUGACGCAGCCAUGCCGCGUGAAUGAUGAAGGUCUUAGGAUUGUAAAAUUCUUUCACCGGGACGAUAAUGACGGUACCCGGAGAAGAAGCCCCGGCUAACUUCGUG